GACGAACGCUGGCGGCGUGCUUAACACAUGCAAGUCGAACGGAAAGGCCCCUUCGGGGGUACUCGAGUGGCGAACGGGUGAGUAACACGUGAGUAACCUGCCCUUGACUUCGGGAUAACUUCAGGAAACUGGGGCUAAUACCGGAUAGGAAUCCUUGCUGCAUGGUGGGGGUUGGAAAGCUUCGGCGGUUUUGGAUGGACUCGCGGCUUAUCAGCUUGUUGGUGGGGUAGUGGCUUACCAAGGCCUUGACGGGUAGCCGGCCCGAGAGGGCGACCGGCCACAUUGGGACUGAGAUACGGCCCAGACUCCUACGGGAGGCAGCAGUGGGGAAUAUUGCACAAUGGGCGGAAGCCUGAUGCAGCAACGCCGCGUGCGGGAUGACGGCCUUCGGGUUGUAAACCGCUUUCAGCAGGGGCGAAGCUUGUGGUGACGGUACCUGCAGAAGAAGCACCGGCUAACUACGUG
This 465-nucleotide ribosomal RNA is filed under the name uncultured bacterium. RNAcentral's name for it is "partial 16S ribosomal RNA". It matches the Rfam family "Bacterial small subunit ribosomal RNA", at positions 28 to 507 of the family's 1533-position model. The record is from RNAcentral.